UGGAAUGUAGCUCAGUGGUAGAGUAUUUGCCUAAUGUGCAAGAUCCUGGGUUCAAUCCCUAGUACUACAG
Molecule: transfer RNA, 70 nt
Filed under: Dipodomys ordii (Ord's kangaroo rat)
Lineage: Eukaryota; Metazoa; Chordata; Mammalia; Rodentia; Heteromyidae
Rfam family: tRNA
About the family: Transfer RNA (tRNA) molecules are approximately 80 nucleotides in length. Their secondary structure includes four short double-helical elements and three loops (D, anti-codon, and T loops). Further hydrogen bonds mediate the characteristic L-shaped molecular structure. tRNAs have two regions of fundamental functional importance: the anti-codon, which is responsible for specific mRNA codon recognition, and the 3' end, to which the tRNAs corresponding amino acid is attached (by aminoacyl-tRNA synthetases). tRNAs cope with the degeneracy of the genetic code in two manners: having more than one tRNA (with a specific anti-codon) for a particular amino acid; and 'wobble' base-pairing, i.e. permitting non-standard base-pairing at the 3rd anti-codon position.
Source: Rfam by way of RNAcentral